RNAcentral lists this non-coding RNA (22 nucleotides) under Arabidopsis thaliana (thale cress). The record is from RNAcentral. Lineage: Eukaryota; Viridiplantae; Streptophyta; Magnoliopsida; Brassicales; Brassicaceae.
GUGUCGGCUGCUUUGUUGAGCC